This 190-nucleotide non-coding RNA is filed under the name Erwinia tasmaniensis. RNAcentral describes it as "Lysine sequence". It matches the Rfam family "Lysine riboswitch aptamer". Rfam says of the family: Riboswitches are metabolite binding domains within certain messenger RNAs that serve as precision sensors for their corresponding targets. Allosteric rearrangement of mRNA structure is mediated by ligand binding, and this results in modulation of gene expression. The record is from Rfam by way of RNAcentral. Lineage: Bacteria; Pseudomonadati; Pseudomonadota; Gammaproteobacteria; Enterobacterales; Erwiniaceae.
CAGGCCAGAAGAGGCGCGUCGCCCAGGCAGUGUGUUGGAGGAACCGAAUCCAGAGAUAACACAUCAGGGGGAGCGACGCCGAGGUAUCAACCACGCGGAGUGGGGCGUAUCGACCGCAGGGGCUGAAUCCUCUGGGUUGUCACCAGCAACGUCCGGUAGUCGGGCGGCAAGGUGGGGCGCUUCUGGGUGA